This 128-nucleotide ribosomal RNA is filed under the name Photobacterium angustum. RNAcentral's name for it is "partial 16S ribosomal RNA". It matches the Rfam family "Bacterial small subunit ribosomal RNA", at positions 1414 to 1533 of the family's 1533-position model. Lineage: Bacteria; Pseudomonadati; Pseudomonadota; Gammaproteobacteria; Vibrionales; Vibrionaceae. The record is from RNAcentral.
GCUGCACCAGAAGUAGAUAGCUUAACCUUCGGGAGGGCGUUUACCACGGUGUGGUUCAUGACUGGGGUGAAGUCGUAACAAGGUAGCCCUAGGGGAACCUGGGGCUGGAUCACCUCCUUACCUAAAGA